GAUGAACGCUGGCGGCGUGCCUAAUACAUGCAAGUCGAGCGAACAGACGAGGAGCUUGCUCCUCUGACGUUAGCGGCGGACGGGUGAGUAACACGUGGAUAACCUACCUAUAAGACUGGGAUAACUUCGGGAAACCGGAGCUAAUACCGGAUAAUAUAUUGAACCGCAUGGUUCAAUAGUGAAAGACGGUUUUGCUGUCACUUAUAGAUGGAUCCGCGCCGCAUUAGCUAGUUGGUAAGGUAACGGCUUACCAAGGCGACGAUGCGUAGCCGACCUGAGAUGGUGAUCGGCCACACUGGAACUGAGACACGGUCCAGACUCCUACGGGAGGCAGCAGUAGGGAAUCUUCCGCAAAGGGCGAAAGCCUGACGGAGCAACGCCGCGUGAGUGAUGAAGGUCUUCGGAUCGUAAAACUCUGUUAUUAGGGAAGAACAAAUGUGUAAGUAACUAUGCACGUCUUGACGGUACCUAAUCAGAAAGCCACGGCUAACUACGUG
RNAcentral lists this ribosomal RNA (497 nucleotides) under uncultured bacterium. RNAcentral's name for it is "partial 16S ribosomal RNA". It matches the Rfam family "Bacterial small subunit ribosomal RNA", at positions 28 to 507 of the family's 1533-position model. The record is from RNAcentral.